RNAcentral lists this ribosomal RNA (429 nucleotides) under Acidobacteriota bacterium. Its description in RNAcentral is "Acidobacteria bacterium partial 16S ribosomal RNA". It matches the Rfam family "Bacterial small subunit ribosomal RNA", at positions 355 to 776 of the family's 1533-position model. Lineage: Bacteria; Pseudomonadati; Acidobacteriota. The record is from RNAcentral.
UGGGGAAUUUUGGACAAUGGGGGAAACCCUGAUCCAGCCAUCCCGCGUGUGCGAUGAAGGCCUUCGGGUUGUAAAUCACUUUUGGCAGGAAAGAAACGUCAUGGGUUAAUACCCCGUGAAACUGACGGUACCUGCAGAAUAAGCACCGGCUAACUACGUGCCAGCAGCCGCGGUAAUACGUAGGGUGCAAGCGUUAAUCGGAAUUACUGGUCGUAAAGCGUGCGCAGGCGGUUCGGAAAGAAAGAUGUGAAAUCCCAGAGCUCAACUUUGGAACUGCAUUUUUAACUACCGGGCUAGAGUGUGUCAGAGGGAGGUGGAAUUCCGCGUGUAGCAGUGAAAUGCGUAGAUAUGCGGAGGAACACCGAUGGCGAAGGCAGCCUCCUGGGAUAACACUGACGCUCAUGCACGAAAGCGUGGGGAGCAAACAGG